AACGAACGCUGGCGGCGUACUUAACACAUGCAAGUCGAGCGAGAAAGGGGGCUUCGGUCUCCGAGUAGAGCGGCGCACGGGUGAGUAACACGUGGAUAAUCUACCCUCAAGACUGGGAUAACUUGGGGAAACCCGGGCUAAUACCAGAUAAGCCUGCGGACUCUGCGGAGUCAGUAGGAAAAGGGGGCCUCUUCAUGAAAGCUUUCACUUGGGGAUGAGUCCGCGUCCCAUCAGCUUGUUGGUAGGGUAACGGCCUACCAAGGCAACGACGGGUAGCUGGUCUGAGGGGACGAUCAGCCACACUGGCACUGGAACACGGGCCAG
This 324-nucleotide ribosomal RNA is filed under the name uncultured bacterium. Its description in RNAcentral is "bacterial SSU rRNA". It matches the Rfam family "Bacterial small subunit ribosomal RNA", at positions 29 to 334 of the family's 1533-position model. The record is from RNAcentral.